Molecule: ribosomal RNA, 253 nt
Filed under: uncultured bacterium
Lineage: Bacteria
Description: partial 16S ribosomal RNA
Rfam family: Bacterial small subunit ribosomal RNA
Source: RNAcentral
UACGAAGGGUGCAAGCGUUAAUCGGAAUUACUGGGCGUAAAGCGUGCGUAGGCGGUCUUUUAAGUCCGAUGUGAAAGCCCUGGGCUCAACCUGGGAACUGCAUCCGAAACUGCCUUGCUCGAGUAUGGGAGAGGGAAGUGGAAUUUCCGGUGUAGCGGUGAAAUGCGUAGAUAUCGGAAGGAACAUCAGUGGCGAAGGCGACUUCCUGGACCAAUACUGACGCUCAGGUGCGAAAGCGUGGGGAGCAAACAGG